GAGUUUGAUCCUGGCUCAGAUUGAACGCUAGCGGGAUGCCUUACACAUGCAAGUCGAACGGCAGUACGGACUUCGGUCUGGUGGCGAGUGGCGAACGGGUGAGUAAUGUAUCGGAACGCGCCCAGUAGCGGGGGAUAACUACGCGAAAGCGUAGCUAAUACCGCAUACGCCCUACGGGGGAAAGCAGGGGAUCGCAAGACCUUGCACUAUUGGAGCGGCCGAUAUCGGAUUAGCUAGUUGGUGGGGUAACGGCUCACCAAGGCGACGAUCCGUAGCUGGUUUGAGAGGACGACCAGCCACACUGGGACUGAGACACGGCCCAGACUCCUACGGGAGGCAGCAGUGGGGAAUUUUGGACAAUGGGGGAAACCCUGAUCCAGCCAUCCCGCGUGUGCGAUGAAGGCCUUCGGGUUGUAAAGCACUUUUGGCAGGAAAGAAACGUCAUGGGUUAAUACCCCGUGAAACUGACGGUACCUGCAGAAUAAGCACCGGCUAACUACGUGCCAGCAGCCGCGGUAAUACGUAGGGUGCAAGCGUUAAUCGGAAUUACUGGGCGUAAAGCGUGCGCAGGCGGUUCGGAAAGAAAGAUGUGAAAUCCCAGAGCUUAACUUUGGAACUGCAUUUUUAACUACCGGGCUAGAGUGUGUCAGAGGGAGGUGGAAUUCCGCGUGUAGCAGUGAAAUGCGUAGAUAUGCGGAGGAACACCGAUGGCGAAGGCAGCCUCCUGGAUAACACUGACGCUCAUGCACGAAAGCGUGGGGAGCAAACAGGAUUAGAUACCCUG
Molecule: ribosomal RNA, 784 nt
Filed under: uncultured Achromobacter sp.
Lineage: Bacteria; Pseudomonadati; Pseudomonadota; Betaproteobacteria; Burkholderiales; Alcaligenaceae
Description: bacterial SSU rRNA
Rfam family: Bacterial small subunit ribosomal RNA
Source: RNAcentral